This 227-nucleotide long non-coding RNA is filed under the name Elaeis guineensis (African oil palm). Its description in RNAcentral is "long non-coding RNA (EGUI_LNC001312)". Lineage: Eukaryota; Viridiplantae; Streptophyta; Magnoliopsida; Arecales; Arecaceae. The record is from RNAcentral.
GUCUCAUUUUGAUUGCUUUCAUAUAAAUUAAGCCAUAUGUUGUGGCUUCAAUUGGGGUUCUUCCCCAAGUCCAAGAGUUUGCUCUCCUCGUCAUAAGUGGAAUGAUUCAGAUUACAUGGCCCCACCUCAAAGAGACUAACUUGUGGGCCCACAUUGCUAGCCAAUAGGUACAUGACACAUCAAUUAGAAAGUCAAUAUUCAUCUAUCUAACAAAAAUUAUUGGUUGG